This 74-nucleotide transfer RNA is filed under the name Marmota monax (woodchuck). RNAcentral's name for it is "tRNA.Ala". Lineage: Eukaryota; Metazoa; Chordata; Mammalia; Rodentia; Sciuridae. The record is from RNAcentral.
CUGGGGUUGUGCUCAGUGGUAGGGUGUUUGCCUAGCAUGCAUGAGGCACUGUGUUCAAUCCUCAGCACCACAUA